Molecule: ribosomal RNA, 253 nt
Filed under: uncultured bacterium
Lineage: Bacteria
Description: partial 16S ribosomal RNA
Rfam family: Bacterial small subunit ribosomal RNA
Source: RNAcentral
UACGGAGGAUGCGAGCGUUAUCCGGAUUUAUUAGGUUUAAAGGGUACGUAGGCGGCCAAUUAAGCCAGGGGUGAAAUGCUGUGGCUCAACCAUAGCACUGCCUUUGGAACUGAUAGGCUAGAGUGAUGACGGGGUAGGCGGAAUAUGUGGAGUAGCGGUGAAAUGCAUAGAUACCACAUAGAACACCGAUAGCGAAGGCAGCUUACCAGACAUCCACUGACGCUGAUGUACGAAAGCGUGGGUAGCGAACAGG